AUCUACAGCCAUACCAUCCUGAACAUCCCUAUCUCGUCUGAGCUCAAAAGCUAAGCAGGGGCAAGCCUGGUUAGUACUUAGAUGGGAGACCUCCUGGGAAUACUGAGUGCUGUAGGCU
This is a ribosomal RNA of Cercocebus atys (sooty mangabey), 118 nucleotides long. NCBI's taxonomy places the organism in Eukaryota, Metazoa, Chordata, Mammalia, Primates, Cercopithecidae. The record is from Ensembl.